This is a long non-coding RNA of Cyprinus carpio (common carp), 643 nucleotides long. RefSeq lists it as uncharacterized. The transcript has 3 exons. Lineage: Eukaryota; Metazoa; Chordata; Actinopteri; Cypriniformes; Cyprinidae. The record is from RefSeq and is a predicted model, not a curated record.
UGCUAUAAUUAUGUGGUAAGUAAACUAAACAGAGCAGGUGAGAAGAGUCUUGAUUAUAUAAUGUUUUAUUUCAGUGGAGGAGAGUGAUGAGUCUCCUCGGAGUCGUCUGACAUGUUCAGCAUCUCCUCACCAGAGACAGUGUUCAAAGCAUCUUCCUCUCAGACUGAGUGGAGGGGAGGGCCGGUGCUCUGGGAGGCUGGAGGUGUAUCAUAACGCUGUGUGGGGCUCAGUCUGUGAUGAUCAGUGGGACAUCAGCGAUGCUCAGGUGGUCUGCAGGCAGCUGGGUUGUGGAGCAGCACUGAGGGCUGAUGGGAAUUCAGUCUUUGGUGCUGGUAAAAGGUGUUUGUGUGGAUAAACAAAGUCGACUGCAGAGGGAAUGAGAUUCACCUGUGGGACUGUCCUCUCUCCCUGAAAAACCACACUGACUGCUCCCACAAAGAGCACGCUGGACUCACCUGUGCAGAUUUGUCAGUGUCCACUACUCUUGCAACAACAUCAGCUUCUCCUCCAGUGCGCUCAACAUCAGUCUCUCCUCCACAAACUCCUCCAGCAGUGUCUCUCUCCGUCCCCCCAGUGCUUGUGAUUGUUCUGGGAGUUGUGCUCUUACUGCUCUUAGUGCCACUGCUUAUACUGAUUCAGCAGA